RNAcentral lists this ribosomal RNA (1168 nucleotides) under Arthrobotrys musiformis. RNAcentral's name for it is "partial large subunit ribosomal RNA". It matches the Rfam family "Eukaryotic large subunit ribosomal RNA", at positions 87 to 1281 of the family's 3401-position model. Lineage: Eukaryota; Fungi; Ascomycota; Orbiliomycetes; Orbiliales; Orbiliaceae. The record is from RNAcentral.
CGGCGAGUGAAGCGGCAACAGCUCAAAUUUGAAAUCUGGAGCCUUCGGCUUCCGAGUUGUAAUUUGAAGAGGAUGUUUCGGUGCGACCUGGGCCUAAGUUCCUUGGAACAGGACGUCAUGGAGGGUGAGAAUCCCGUACAUGGCUGCAGGUUUGCUUCUAUGUGAAACUCCUUCGAAGAGUCGAGUUGUUUGGGAAUGCAGCUCAAAAUGGGUGGUAAAUUUCAUCUAAAGCUAAAUAUUGGCGGGAGACCGAUAGCGCACAAGUAGAGUGAUCGAAAGAUGAAAAGCACUUUGAAAAGAGAGUUAAACAGUACGUGAAAUUGUUGAAAGGGAAGCGCUUGCAAUCAGACUCGCCUUCAGUUGAUCAGCCUUCCUUCUGGUUGGUGCACUCUGCUGUUGGCGGGCCAGCAUCAGUUGGGGCGGUGGGAUAAAGGCGGCAGGAAUGUGGCUCGCUUCGGUGAGUGUUAUAGCCUGCUGUGUCAUGCCACCAGUCCCGACUGAGGUCCGCGGUUCGCCUAGGAUGCUGGCUUAAUGGUUGUAAGCGACCCGUCUUGAAACACGGACCAAGGAGUCUAACAUCUAUGCGAGUCUUUGGGUGUAAAACCCAUGGGCGAAAUGAAAGUGAACGGAGGUGGGAGUCCUCGGAUGCACCAUCGACCGAUCCUGAUGUUCUCGGAUGGAUUUGAGUAUGAGCAUAGCUGUUGGGACCCGAAAGAUGGUGAACUAUGCCUGAAUAGGGUGAAGCCAGAGGAAACUCUGGUGGAGGCUCGCAGCGGUUCUGACGUGCAAAUCGAUCGUCAAAUUUGGGUAUAGGGGCGAAAGACUAAUCGAACUAGUAGCUGGUUCCUGCCGAAGUUUCCCUCAGGAUAGCAGUAACGUUUUCAGUUUUAUGAGGUAAAGCGAAUGAUUAGAGGCCUUGGGGUUGAAACAACCUUAACCUAUUCUCAAACUUUAAAUAUGUAAGAAGUCCUUGUUACUUAAUUGAACGUGGACAUUUGAAUGUAUCGUUACUAGUGGGCCAUUUUUGGUAAGCAGAACUGGCGAUGCGGGAUGAACCGAACGCGGGGUUAAGGUGCCGGAAUGUACGCUCAUCAGACACCACAAAAGGUGUUGAUUCAUCUAGACAGCAGGACGGUGGCCAUGGAAGUCGGAAUCCGCUAAGGAGUGU